ACAUCGACAAAUAAAUUGGCGAAGAAGAAGAAAAACACAUAAAAAGAAGAAACAAAACCACAAAACACACACAAAAUUCUUUCAACAUUACAUUUUCCCGAAAUUUAACGUAUUUAUAGAUAUUUCAUAUU
Molecule: non-coding RNA, 131 nt
Filed under: uncultured eukaryote
Lineage: Eukaryota
Source: RNAcentral